UACAGAGGGUGCAAGCGUUGUUCGGAAUUACUGGGCGUAAAGCGCGUGUAGGCGGCGGCGUAAGUCGGAUGUGAAAGCCCUCGGCUCAACCGAGGAAGUGCAUCCGAUACUGCGUUGCUUGAGUACCGGAGGGGAUGGCGGAAUUCCCGGUGUAGAGGUGAAAUUCGUAGAUAUCGGGAGGAACACCUGUGGCGAAGGCGGCCAUCUGGACGGUAACUGACGCUGAGACGCGAAAGCGUGGGUAGCAAACAGG
Molecule: ribosomal RNA, 253 nt
Filed under: uncultured bacterium
Lineage: Bacteria
Description: partial 16S ribosomal RNA
Rfam family: Bacterial small subunit ribosomal RNA
Source: RNAcentral